GUUUCGCCCACAUCUUGUUAUUAGGCAUCUAGAAUAUUUCUUGUUUCUCUUAUGUUGUUAUCUGAGGCCACUGAAAAAAAUAGAGAUGUAGCCUCUGCAUAAUAAUGCUUGUGUUGGCAGCAUUUAUCCUUUCCCCUCCUCUACAAUAAACCAUACUAAUAAUUCCUAACCCAUUUAUAAGUCUUCCUGACAUACAAGCAUGAAAUCGAUUACAAACAAAAGGUAAUUUUAAUUUGCAUAAUAUACAAUAAAUUUAGGGUUACUAAACACAUUAUCAACUAAAAGUUUGCUAAGAUUUUUUUAGAUUAUGUAAUAUAAAUUUUUAAUCUAAUAACUAAUUACAGUGUUCACAAUACUUUGAAAAUAAGGAACUUUGAUUUUACCAAGUCUUUUCCAAUCAUCAAUAGGCCCUUCCAAUCAUCAAUGAGCAUCUAUUUUACUUUUUUUUUUUUUAAAGAUUUUAUUUAUUUUUUCUCCUUCCCAAAGCCCCCCGGUACAUAGUUGUAUAUUCUUCGUUGUGGGUCCUUCUAGUUGUGGCAUGUGGGACGCUGCCUCAACGUGGUUUGAUGAGCAGUAUCAUGUCCACACUCAGGAUUUGAACCAACGAAACACUGGGCCACCUGCAGCAGAGCGCGUGAACUUAACCACUCGGCCAUGGGGCCAGCCCCUAUUUUACUUUUUUUAAGAUUUUAUUUUUCCUUUUUUCUCGCCAAAGCUCCCCGGUACAUAGUUCUGUAUUUUUAGUUGUGGGUCUUUCUAAUUGUGACAUGUGGGAUGCCGCCUCAGCGUGGCUUGAUGAGUGGUGCCAUGUCCGUCAGGAUCCGAACCGACGAAACCCCAGGCCGCCAAAGCGGAGCACACGAACUUAACCACUCGGCCACGGGGCCGGCCCCCUGUGAGCAUUUAUUAUCUGUUACAUUCUGUGCAUUGUGCUGUCUCUGAUGACUUUAGCUCACUAGAAAAACAGACAAAAUACAAGUUUCUCCUGAACUUCUCACAAGUACGGAGGAGCAAGUUUCCAGGACCAUGAGCAAAAGAUUAUUUAUAUAGAAAAUCCUAAGAAAUCUACAAAACAACUAUUAAAAUUAAUAAGUGAAAUCAGCGAGAUUGCAGAAUACAAGAUUAAUAUACGAAAAUCAACUAUUUUAUAUACUAGUAAUAAAUAAUUUAGAAAAUGAACUUUAAAAAUAGCAAUCCACUCGUAAUAGUGUGAAAAAGCAUACUUAGGAAUAAAUUUGUGAAAAGAUGUGUAAGAUCUCUACACAAAAAGUCUCAAAACCUUCCUGAUAGAAAUUAAAGAUAUGAAUACAUGGAAAGAUACAACAUGUUCAUGGAUUAGAGACUCAAUAUUAUUAAUAUUUUAAUUCUACCCAUUGAUCUACAGAUUCAGUACAAUCCCAUCAGAAUGUCAGUGGAUAACAACAAAAACAAACCCAAUUUUAAAAAUGGGCAAAGGAUUUGAGUAGACAUUUCUCUAUUCAAUAUUCUCUAUUUCUGUAUUCUGUAAGAAUAUAUACAAAUGGUCAAUAAGCACAUGAAAAGAUACUGAACAUCAUUAGUCAUUAGGAAAAUGCAAAUCAAACCCACAUGAGGUACCCCUUCACACCUCCUAGGAUGGCUUUAAUAAAAAAAAAUUUAGUUAAAAAGCAAAACAAAAUAACAAGCGUUAACAAGAAUGCAGAGAAACUGGAACCCUCGUGCACUGCUGGUGGGAAUAUAAAAUGGUGGUGCUGCUGUGGAAGACACUUUGGCAGUUCCCCAAAAGUUAAACAUUGAGUUACCGUAUGAUCCAGCAAUUCUCCUCGUAGGUAUUUACCCAAAAGAACUGAAAGCAGGGACUCAAACUGAUAUCUGUACACCCAUGUUCGGAGCAGCAUUAUUCACAGCGGCCAAAAGGUGGAAGUAACCCAAGUAUUCGACAGGUGAGUAGAUAAAUAAAAUAUGAUAUAAUAUACAUACACACAAAUAUUAUCCAGCCAUAAAAAGGAAAUUCUGAUAUAUGCUACAACAUGGGUGAACCUUAAAAACAUGCUAAGCAAAAUAAGCCAGAUAUGAAAGACUCAAUACUGUAUGAUUGCAUUUAUAUGAAUGUCCAGGAUAGACAAACCUAUAGAGAGAAAAUACAGGUUCUCAGGGGCUGAAGGGAGUCGGUAAUGGGGAGUUAUUGUUUAAUGGGUACAGACUUUCUGUUUGGGAAGAUGAAAAAGUUCUGGAAAUAGCUAGUGGUGAUGGUUACACAUUGUGAUUGUACUUAAUGCCACUGAAUUGUACACUUAAAAUGGCUAAAAUGGUCAUUUUUAAGUUAUGUAUAUUUUACCAGAAUUUUUAAAUUCCAACAAGUUUUCUAAAAGAAAUUGACAAACUAAUUCUAAAAGUUAUAUGGAGAAAUACAAAGUACCUGUAAUACCCAAAGUAAUCUUGAGAAAAGCAAGUUGGAGGACUUAUAGUACUUCAUUUGAAGAUUAACUAGAAAGCUACAUCAGUCCAGACAGUAUGGUACUAGCAACAAGGAUUGACAAAUCAGCAUAACAGAAAAGAGAGCUCAGAAAUACCCACACUUACACAGUCGUUACAUUUUCAACGAAGACCCCAAAGCAGUUCAAUGGAGAAAGGAAAGUCUUUUUAACAAAUGGUGCUGGAAUGACUAGAUAUUCAUAUGUAAAAAAAGAAUUAGAAACUUGACCGCUACCACACACAAAUAGCAAUGUGAGAUGGAGCCUAGACCCAAGUGUAAAAGCUAACGCCAUAAAACUUCCAGUGGAAAACAUAAGAGAAUGUCUUCAUGAUUUGGGGUAUGCACAGGUUUCUUGAGCCACAAAAAGCAGUAACAAAAAAAGAAAAGGUUAUAAAUUAGACCUCAUCGAAAUUAAAAGCUUCUGCUUAUCAAAAGAUACCAUAAAGAAAAUGGAAAGGCAAGCCACAAGUUGGGAAGAAUAUUUGCAAAACAUAGAUUUAACAAUGGACUAGUAUCCGGGGUAAAGAAUUCCUGUAACUCAACAAUACAAAGACAGAUAGUACAUCCAGACAAUGGAAUCUUACUCAGCAAUAAAAAGAAAUGAGCUAUCAAACCACGAAAAGAUGGAGGAACCUUAAAUGCACAUUGCUAAGUGAAAGAAGCCACUCUGUAAAGGAAAGUGAAACUGUUCUGUAGAAUACUAUUAAUAGUGGAUACAUGUCAUCAUACUUUUGUCAAAACCCACAGAGUAUACUGCACAAAGAAUGAACUCUAAAACAAGCUAUGACUUUAGUUACUAUGUCAGUACUGGCUUAUCGGUUGUAACAAACGUACCCCACUAAUGCAAGAUGUUAAUAGGGAAAAUGGGGGAGAAGGAACUCUGUGCUUUCUGUUCAAUUUUUCUGUCAACAUAAAACUACUCAAAAAAAUAAAGUCUAUUAAAAAUGUGUUUUUUAAAAAAAAAAGACAAACCAAAUUUUUUUAAGUGGGCAAAGAUUUGUCCAGAUAUUUCACAAAGGAAAUAUAUAUAAAUGGUGUAAGUACAUGAAAAGUGCUUAACGUCAUUAGUCAUCAGGGAAAUGCAAACUGAAACCACAAGAUAUCAUUACUCACUCACCAGAAUGGCUAAAAUUAAAAAGACUGACUACACCAUAUAUUGGUAGGAUAUGGACCAACUGGAAAUCUCCAAGUUAUUGGUGGGAGUACAAAAUGGGUACAAUCACUUUGGAAAAAGUCUGGCAGUUUCUUAUAAAACUAAACAUGUAUAUACCUACCUUAUCACACAACAAUCCCACUCCUAGGUAUUUACUCAAGAGGGAAACAAAGCCACAAAAAGACUUGCACAGGAAUGUUCAUAGCAGUUUUGAGUAAUAAAUAAUAGCCAAAAACUGGAAGCAGCCCAAGUGCCUAUCCAUAGAACGGACAGAUGUUGUUACUCAAGGGGACGCUACUCAGCAAUCAAAGAAUUGACUAAUACAUGCAACAUUGGAUGAAUCUCAAAAACGCUAUGCUGAGUUUCUAGAAGACUUGCACAAAAGAGUAAAAAUUAUGUGACACCAUGUAAAUGAAAUUCUAGAAUAGGGAAAACUAAUCCAAGGUGGGAAAAAAAUCAGAAUAUUGGUUCUAUCUGUGGGGUGGUGGUGGAGAUGGACUAGGAAGG
This 4115-nucleotide long non-coding RNA is filed under the name Equus caballus (horse). RNAcentral describes it as "lncRNA (ENSECAG00000047253.1)". Lineage: Eukaryota; Metazoa; Chordata; Mammalia; Perissodactyla; Equidae. The record is from RNAcentral.